This is a long non-coding RNA of Myripristis murdjan (pinecone soldierfish), 1091 nucleotides long. RefSeq lists it as uncharacterized. The record is from RefSeq and is a predicted model, not a curated record. NCBI's taxonomy places the organism in Eukaryota, Metazoa, Chordata, Actinopteri, Holocentriformes, Holocentridae. The transcript has 3 exons.
CUUCCCGAAGCAUUUUCCGGGUUAGCUGCAGCAUCGUGGGCAGCUGGUGCCUUUGUUUGGCGUGGCGAUCGACGAGGGUCAUAUUACCACUCAGCGUGGCUGACCACUGGUCCAGGGGCGGACGGACUGCUCUGCUGGAGGCCCGCUGUCGCGUGGUUGUCUGUCGACUUGCUUUCGCCCGUUUAUUACUCCCGUCCUCCACAGUGAGGUCGCACUGUGGCACAGCUUGAGGGUAUGUACCAUGCUAAAUUCGCUAUACAACUAUUAUUUAGCGUUUCAUGGACAAUUUUUAUUUGUUUGUGCUAAUUUUGUUAUUGUUUUCAGCUACCGAUCCAAGAUCGGCUGCUGCUUUGGCUCGGCUCUGUUUCGUGUGUGUGUUUGCUCCCUCUCACGGGGUUACGUCGUUGGCCAGCCGCCGGAGCUGCGAGCCGCUAACCCGCGGCGAUAAGGACCGGCUCUGUCCCCGCAGGCAGUGCGUGGCCGGACCCCACACCCCGGAGGCCGGCCCUAUAAUAAAGAAGCGCCGCAUAGUGGGACUCUGUUUUUAAGUUGUCUAAUCAUCAGAGUUGCCUUGAGUUAUUCUUUUGUUUUGUUUUGAGUGAAUUGUUAUUGGUUUGUUGUCUUUUAAGUUAAAUGUUUUUUUAUAUUGAUUAUUGUGGGGUUUCUUUUGUUUAUUUUUCUCUUCUCUGUUGAACAAAUUAUUUGUUUGUUUGUGGUUUUUGUUUCCUUUUUUUCAAUUAUAUUGUUUAUUUAGAGAGAUGCACCAGGGGUCAAGUGGCUGGUAGUUUUAACCUUUCCCCUCUCUCUCUGGACAGGUGCUGAGGCCCCCGGCAGCAGCCCGGUUUCCUGGUGGUGGUGUUACCUUCACGUUCCCUUCUUGGUUGGUGUGCAGUGACACGGGUGCAUAGUUUGAGGACUUUUGUUUUUCCCUUUUUUUUUACUCCCCUGCUGCCACGGUAAGCCCCAGCCCUGUCCGACUGUUGCCCCUCUACCAGCCCUUUUUAAAAACAGUGAUGUGACUUUGCCCUGGUGCUCUAUUUGUUGUUAUUUCUUUUUUUGUUAAUAAACAUUUCUUUAUUAUGAACCGUCUC